UACGGAGGGUGCGAGCGUUGUCCGGAAUCACUGGGCGUAAAGGGCGCGUAGGUGGCGGGACAAGCGUGCGGUGAAAGCCUGGAGCUCAACCCCGGGUCGGCCGUGCGAACUGUUUUGCUUGAGCACUGUAGAGGCAGGCGGAAUUCCGGGUGUAGCGGUGGAAUGCGUAGAGAUCCGGAAGAACACCGGUGGCGAAGGCGGCCUGCUGGGCAGUAGCUGACACUGAGGCGCGACAGCGUGGGGAGCAAACAGG
RNAcentral lists this ribosomal RNA (253 nucleotides) under uncultured bacterium. Its description in RNAcentral is "partial 16S ribosomal RNA". It matches the Rfam family "Bacterial small subunit ribosomal RNA", at positions 524 to 776 of the family's 1533-position model. The record is from RNAcentral.